CCACAAACAUAGUGGACACAAGGUUAGACGUGACAUAAAUGUGUCCUAGACAGACCCUUCUUUUCUUAGUGAAACAUCAACUUUCCAAAGACAAUAUUCCAAACUGGACAGUUGAUACAUAGAGCUAUUUUACUUUAACAUUUAAAGUGUGGCUGCAAAUCUGGGAUGCAGGAGGUGAAAAUUCAUUGUCUAAUCUGUUUCUCAGUUUCCUCUUUCAGAAACGAGAGAUUUUUCAAGACCUUGCUCCACUGCUGUGGCACUCCUUUGGCACUGUUGCUGCACUGCUCCAGGAGAUUGUGUCAAUUUACCCUUCACUUUCACCUCCUACUUUGUCGCUAGUUGCAUCAAACCGUGUCUGCAAUGCACUUGCACUUCUUCAGUGUGUUGCUUCACACCCUGAGACCAGGAUCCCGUUCUUGAAUGCUCACAUCCCACUGUACCUGUACCCGUUCCUGAAUACUACCAGCAAGACAAGACCUUUUGAGUACUUGAGGCUUACCAGCUUGGGUGUUAUUGGUGCUCUUGUGAAGGUAAAUUAAAACUAGAUACUUAUGCAAACUAGGAAUGGAUGGUCCAUAUAGAUUUUUGCUUUAAAUGGUGAGAGGGUUGUUGAACCAGAGGGGAAAACAGUGAUGGGGAUUGGCUGUAUUCUUUCUUUUUUUUGUAGACUAUAUCUUGUUCUUUUGGUAUUCUCAUUCCAGUAAUCCAGUCAUUUUAAUCAAAUGGACUGGUUGGGAUUGGAUCCCAGGAAUCUCAACAGGAACUGUUAUUUUUGAAGCAAACAGGCUAA
Triticum aestivum (bread wheat) is the source of this 790-nucleotide long non-coding RNA. RefSeq lists it as uncharacterized. Lineage: Eukaryota; Viridiplantae; Streptophyta; Magnoliopsida; Poales; Poaceae. The record is from RefSeq and is a predicted model, not a curated record. The transcript has 4 exons.